GCCCGCCGCCCGCGACCCCCCCUCUCGCAUCUCUACUACCCAACCCCCCCGUCGAGCUGCGCCGUCCGGCUCGUCAUGAUCCAUGUCCCGCUAUGAUCUCGGAGGCAGAUGCGGUUCCCGCCAGCUGCGUUGCCUGCCUACUGGGGGACCGGCGAUCCCACUUCUAAGGGCUAGAUUUGUUGCUGGUUCGGUCCGUUCUGGGGAUGUAGAUGUGUUUUAGUGUAUGGGGGUUGUUGAUCAUGGGCAGGCGUCUUCGUCCUGGAUUUUGCUGCAGCUGAGCUGUAGUAUUGUUUUCUGAAUGUAAGUGCUAGUGUUGUGUCUAGGUAGCAAAUGUGCGGGUUGGGAUCUGCAGUAAAAUUCGCCAAAGUAGAGUGACCCGUUGUGCAUGGUUGCUGAUUCAGUAACUUAGAGCUUUCCUUCGAUUAUUAGGGUUUUAGAUUUCUCAUGUUUAACUGGCAAACAGUAUAAUAUGGACUUGACACAUUGGUUUACUCAGUGUAAGAUUGGAUGAGUCAAUUCCAAUUAUUCUUCACUUUACUAGGGUUUUGGGUUAUCUAUUCUCUUGCAAGGGGUUGAUUAUGUGUUUCAUGGUGUACUUUUGCUGAGUGGUAUUGCAAAAAUCAUAUAUACCCAAGCUUCAAAAGAUCGAUUGCCUCGUUAGUCAGUAGCUGUCUUCUCUUAUGUAGAGUCUUCAGUAUAUAUAAAUUAAGAAAAUAUAUAAACAAGUUAAAAGUGGCUGGAUUUUGUUACCAUGAAGACUGAAGUGACUGAAAUGGAGAGUAGUGCAAACACUUGACUAAGUGCUAUCCUGCUAUUUUUUCUAAUUCAGUAUCAAAUCAUAUAAUCAGUGAUUCCGUAAAACCAGAUACAUUCAGUAUCAAAUCAUAUAAUCAGUGAUUCCGUAAAACCAGAUACAUUUUGUUCAUGUUAGAUACUCAAUUCAAGUCCCAUGACUGCCUUUUAUAUCUGUGGUUAAUUAAUUCUAGCAGUUUUGAAGGCAGGCUAUUAACAGUAGCACUAAAACAUUAUUAAGCAAACAAGUCAUGCUACUUUGUCUUUAUGAUGCAAUCUGCAGAUCAAAGUGCUCUCUGUUUUUCUGAUGCAUAUAUAUGUUUGUAGUAGAUAGAGUAAUCCUAUGGUUAAUUACUUGCUGCUAUAAUUUACAGAGUACCAAACUGCAGCUUGCUAUUUUGUUAAAGUGAAAGUUAUACUAGUCAAAAGAGCCUUUUGGUCUGUCUAAACUGGGAAUAGUGGUGUCUGCCCAGCAGUAAUUGAUAUAUGUCCUUUCACUCCAUUACUUGGUCACCAUUAUAUCUUGUAACUGUUCAAUUUAUUUGAGCAUCGAUAAUUUUGGUAUUUAUUGAAUUAUUGAAGCUAUCCUUGUAUUUUCUUAUUUUUUUAAAAAAGAAAAUAUAUUUUAGUUGGCUAUUCAGUUUAUCCCCAAAGUUAGCAUCUGUGCUUUACAGAAUUAGCACGGAGCAUGAAAAGUUUGGUUUUGAAGUCAACAAAAUCAUUGGUUUGUAGGAAAGAUACGAAAUAAUGAGGAAUUAGAUGUCUAAAGUUAUUUUCCAGAGUGCACUAGUCAUCUGUUGAUGUAAGUUAUUUUCCAGCUACUUUUGUUGGUUAAUCAUACUAGUAGGAUGGGUCUAGCUAAAGUAGUGAAAAUCUGAAUUUUAUUUGUAAAGGAUGUGUUUCCUGAACUACACAAACUAUGAAUGAACAAUCUUCAAGUUUAUUUCCUGUAACAAAUGUGGUAGGCCUAGAUAGUUUACUUCUACUCUUUGUAUAUUUGGAUGAUGACUAUGACUUAUGUGAUGUGGUCAGAUUUGGUAUUAUAUAUAUGCUGUGUUGUGGUUCGAUUAGAUUUGAAAUUAUAUAGGCUGUGCUAACUGCUUUAUUAAAGUUUGAUUAUUGUAAUUUUUUUUUGCUGUAGUAGUGUCUUUGCUGAGGGCCCUAGCAAUAGCCCUCGUCAAAGAUUUUUUUUAAAAAAUCCUGAACAUUUCUUUGCCGAGGGCCAGGGAUGAGGCCCUUGGCAAAGGUCUUUUUUUAAAAAAAAAUAAAAUAUAUCUUUGCCGAGGGCCUGGGGAAAGCCCUCGGCAAAGUUUUUUUUAAAAAAAAAACAUUUCUUUGCCGAGGGUCGGCCCUCGGCAAAGAAACUGCUAACAGUGUCGGCGCCGUGACGGCUGCUUUUCUUUGCCGAGGGCCAGUCUUGACCCUCGGCAAAGGCUUUGCCGAGUGCCCGAUAAAGGGCCCUCGGCAAAGACCCCCUUUGCCAUCUAAAAAUUCCCCGAGGGGUCUUUGCCGAGGGCAGCCCUCGGCAAAGGCUUUGCCGAGGGUUUUUUUGGCCUUUGAGCAUGUGAGUCCAGUAGUGAUGGCUGAUAUUCCAGUCAUGUUGUACCGGCUCAUGGACCGACAAGACCCUCACGCCAACGCCACCUACAUCUACACCAACACCACGCAUGAAGAAGUAAAACGAAGAUCAAUGACGACGACCAACACAGCUUAAUCAGAGGUACCCUGUGAGCUUGACUCGUAGGGGUAAUUAACUAGGAGCUUUCUGAGGCCCUAGGAACCAUGAAGACCACGAUCGCCUAAGCUAGAUCACCGCCAUCAGGAUAUGGAGCGCACACUUGUACCAGGGGACUUAUAUUUGUAUUUUCCUUAAAUAUGAAUAAAAUUUGUGUUUCUUUUAUUUAUUUAUUUAUUUAUUUUGUGUACUUUAGUACAUUGGCACGCCCGCGUGUUUUAUUUUCUUUGUGAUGGAGAAAUAUUAUUUUUUCUGUCCAAACAGUAGCAUAUGUCCUCCUUUUGCAUGUGAUUUGACUAAAUAGCUUGCUUGUCAUCCUCUGCCAGUUUCAUAAUAUUCCUAUCCUUGUUUUGCAUAAACACUGGUUUUUUGAGACACAGUCAAACAUUAAUGUUAGGAUAAUGUCUUGUUUCACACAUGUCUAUGGUCGUGUGUGUUUCUGAAACUGCUAUAUAUGGACUGUAUUAUACAUAUAUAUUUUUGAGCACGACACUCAAGUUAGUGUUUCCAUGGUACUGCUAGCACAUUUAUGAAUGAACAUCUUUUAAUUAUGUACAGAAGCUGACCAUUCUGGCUUGCUCUGCCAUCUAUUAGCAUAUCAGUGCACAAUCUAGACUCAUGUUUUAGGAAUGCAUCUUUAUGUCAGCUCUCCCUUCCCUCCCUCUUCCCCUUGUUUAAUAUUUUUUUAAAAAAAAAUUAUCUCCCGGUAACCCAUACUAAUACUACUGCUCUCCCUUCCCUCCUCCUCCCUCCCAUCCUGCAUUUCUUAGACUAAGGUACAGUAACACAUUUUGAGAGGCUAUUUAUAGUUAAACAGAAACAAUAUAAACUACAAGCAAAGAUGGCUUAGUCUUGAUCUAUAUAUGCCAUAGCCCUUCUAUAAUUAUAUUUUCAUGAUAGGGUUCCAUCCUCUCUAUAUCAGUUUGUUGUUUAGUCAAUUUGUUAUAGCCACCUACCUCACCUUAGUUGUUUUUACUUCGAGUGCCAGCUUGCAAUACUGGAUUGCACCUUGAAUUUUGUUGAUCGCUCUUUAGGAAUUGGCUUGCUGGUUUGCCAAUUUAUGUAGUUACUUUCAAUUUCUAGAUGGUAUUUAUAAGCAUAGGUGGAUGACGCAAUGAGGGAGUACAGUAAAAAUAGGUGAUCCGUUCCUCUGCUUUCGUAGAGAUUAGGUAACCACUAAUAUCACCUCUUUCCUUUUGUUUUGAUUUUUCAACCUAUGAGCUAAAGGGAAAGACUUUAUUUCCUUUUCUUGGUUUAGCAGUGUCAAUCCAUAGGAUGAACUUUAUUGUUUUGUCAACAACGAACAAGGAUUAGUUUUUGUUUCUUGCUGUCAAAAAGGGGGAAUUCAGAUCCAAACUUCAAUUCUCUUGUAAAAGCAUAUGUACACUUCGUUUAGCAGUGUCAAUCUGUAGGAUGGACUUUAUUGUUUUGUCAACAACGAACAAGGAUUAGCUUUAGUUUCUUUUUGUAAGAAAAGGGGAAUUCAGAUUCAAACUUUAAUUCUCUUGCAAAAGUAUAUGUAUACUUCGUUUUACCAAUAUUGCUAAUUUCCAUUUCCUGCUCAUUCAUCCUAUCCUUUUUUUAUAUUGAUGGCAUGUUGGCAAGGCGGGAGAACACUGAAGCACAUGAACCCAAUGUAUUCUGUUCAAAAGAUCUUGUGAUCAUGUAGGUUUUAGGUGUCAGAUUGUAGUACUAUAUGACACAACUUCACACUAGCUAUUUAGUUGCUUAGAUUUGCUUAAAAAAGAUGCUAUGGUUAUGUCCUACAAAUGUGUCCUUACCUCAGCAGUGGAAAGAAGUUAUUAUUAAGUCUAAAUAAUUAUUCCAAUUAACUUCUUUAUAGUUAAAAUCAGAUUUUUACCUUCGUUGACGUAAUCACAGGCUUGAUUAGGUUAGUUGCUACGACAUAAAUUAUUCAACCUUUUGAGGUUAUAUACAUAAGGUAAAGUAGUUGCUCAUAUACCUGUAGUAUGUCCCUAUCAAAUAUAAUCAUAGUGUUGGCGCCGCCUAAUGUUAUCAAACAAAGUUAAUUGUACUCUUAUGGUUAUUUUUUUUACCAUUCUGAUCUUAUUCUUUUACAUGCUAUGUGGAUCUACAUGGAGUUACUAAACUAUCCUAAAACAUUGUGGUUGUCAAGACUCUUGUUGCUGAAAAGAAACGACCCUGUGCAGACCAUACUUUGCCUCAGGAAAGUGGCUAGAUAAGAGCUGGAUGCUUCCCUAGUUUUGGAGUUCACCUCAGCUUACAAUGCUGCACCAAGUCACCCUCAAGCAGUCCUGGGCUCCGAGCAUGUAGGCAGAAGUUGAUUAUUUGGUCUACAUUCUCAACUUACUGCAGUUUCAGUUCUUUUUAUCGUUGGAAGCGAACCGGGAAUCAUUUAAAAAAUGUUUUUGCCUGCGGCAGUUGGUUGAGUAGAAAACACCAUAAUUAGCAAGCUAUUUUUUAAUGUACCAUUUGUACAUAGCUGUUUGGUAAAAGAAAUGUUUUACAUGGGUAGCUUAUGCAGCAAAAAACUUCCUUCGGUUGUACUAAGGAUUGUUUGCUUCUUUCCUGACGUGGUGCGCUAGAAUGGGUUACUUUCACAACUUACAUACCGUACCUCCAAUCUUAAGUUUCCAUAAUAUACUUUUUCA
This is a long non-coding RNA of Sorghum bicolor (sorghum), 5160 nucleotides long. RefSeq lists it as uncharacterized. The transcript is spliced from 2 exons. Lineage: Eukaryota; Viridiplantae; Streptophyta; Magnoliopsida; Poales; Poaceae. The record is from RefSeq and is a predicted model, not a curated record.